GGAGGAGUGGCCCAAUGGCACGGCAGGAGAUUGCUAAUCUCCGAGGGUGUAAAAAGCCCUCUGUGGGUUCGAGUCCCACCUCCUCCGCCA
Molecule: transfer RNA, 90 nt
Filed under: Candidatus Staskawiczbacteria bacterium CG10_big_fil_rev_8_21_14_0_10_38_10
Lineage: Bacteria; Candidatus Staskawicziibacteriota
Description: tRNA-Ser
Rfam family: tRNA
About the family: Transfer RNA (tRNA) molecules are approximately 80 nucleotides in length. Their secondary structure includes four short double-helical elements and three loops (D, anti-codon, and T loops). Further hydrogen bonds mediate the characteristic L-shaped molecular structure. tRNAs have two regions of fundamental functional importance: the anti-codon, which is responsible for specific mRNA codon recognition, and the 3' end, to which the tRNAs corresponding amino acid is attached (by aminoacyl-tRNA synthetases). tRNAs cope with the degeneracy of the genetic code in two manners: having more than one tRNA (with a specific anti-codon) for a particular amino acid; and 'wobble' base-pairing, i.e. permitting non-standard base-pairing at the 3rd anti-codon position.
Source: RNAcentral